UACGUAGGGGGCGAGCGUUGCCCGGAUUCACUGGGCGUAAAGGGCGUGCAGGCGGUCUGUUAAGUCUAGGGUGAAAGCUCCCGGCUCAACUGGGAGAGGUCCUUGGAUACUGGCGGACUUGAGGGAGGCAGAGGAAAGUGGAAUUCCCGGUGUAGUGGUGAUAUGCGUAGAUAUCGGGAGGAACACCAGUGGCGAAGGCGGCUUUCUGGGCCUUACCUGACGCUGAGACGCGAAAGCGUGGGGAGCGAACCGG
Molecule: ribosomal RNA, 253 nt
Filed under: uncultured bacterium
Lineage: Bacteria
Description: partial 16S ribosomal RNA
Rfam family: Bacterial small subunit ribosomal RNA
Source: RNAcentral